This 86-nucleotide transfer RNA is filed under the name Omnitrophica WOR_2 bacterium RBG_13_44_8b. Its description in RNAcentral is "tRNA-Leu". It matches the Rfam family "tRNA". Rfam says of the family: Transfer RNA (tRNA) molecules are approximately 80 nucleotides in length. Their secondary structure includes four short double-helical elements and three loops (D, anti-codon, and T loops). Lineage: Bacteria; Pseudomonadati; Candidatus Omnitrophota. The record is from RNAcentral.
GCCGGAGUGGCGGAAUGGUAGACGCGGCAGCCUCAAAAGCUGUUGAGGGCAACCUCAUGGGGGUUCAAGUCCCUUCUCCGGCACAA